This is a long non-coding RNA of Papaver somniferum (opium poppy), 2692 nucleotides long. RefSeq lists it as uncharacterized. The record is from RefSeq and is a predicted model, not a curated record. The transcript is spliced from 3 exons. NCBI's taxonomy places the organism in Eukaryota, Viridiplantae, Streptophyta, Magnoliopsida, Ranunculales, Papaveraceae.
UUUUCUAAUUCCCAAAGCGAUCAGAACCUGUCGAGAUUCGAAAGUAACAUCACAGAAUUCAGUGAAUUAUUGAGCAAUGAAUCUUAUCAUCAUUUCGCUUAGGGAUUAGCUUGGAUUGGGGCAAGUAUGAAUAAUAUGUCUUGUUUGAUGAAGUCUCUGAAUCAAACUAGGAUCAGAAAUUCGAAAGAACAAAAAUCAAAUGUUAGAACAAUCUUAAGAAAGGAAAAUCAUUCCUUUCCAUCAGGAUCGAUUCAAGAGGAAAUGGAAAUGUGAAGAAAUAAAUUCCAACACAGUUCCCCUCGUAUAUUUGUUAUAUGCCCUUGUCUGAACCGAAUGUGGUCUCAAAUUUCCACAUCCAGUUAUUCGAAGGCAAAUCAAAAUAAAAAUUAAGCUAAAACCCCAAGCAAAAAGAAAUAAAUCGGAACAUGGAAGUUCAAGGUAAGCGUACUAGAUGUAUCAGAGCUGAUUGAAGGGCUAGAUUGAAAAACAAUUAAAAUUUUCUAUCAAGUCCAAAAUCAAAAAGCUCUGAAAAAAAAUCAAUUUCUAAGAACUAGAAAAAGACUGAAUCAAUUUAUGCCUCAUCACUAAACCAGAUAUGAAACUGAAACUUGGAAGAAAAAAAUCUCCCUGAAACUCAUACGGCUACUCUGAGAGGCAUUAAUAUAAUGGAACUCCCAAGUAACCCUAAACAAAUAACAACUAAACAAGAAGCAGGAUGCAAGUUCAACUAACAGUUGAGGAAUCGGCAGUCGAAGCAGUGAUGGGACUUUUAGGUUGCUGUAGGCUUUUCUUUUAUGGGAGAAACUGGAGGCUGAAUUAGGGUUUUGUAAUCGUUUUCACCAAAUUGACGGAUUUACCCUUUCGGAUCUUAUUUUCUCUUUUUGGGCGGUGCUGUCCCAUAACAGUCUUUGAUGGCAAACAAGUCAGUUCAGUGAGGCAAGCAGUUGGGAAUGGACAUCCCAUUCCAACCGAGAGGCCGGAGAGGUUUCCCACGUCCUUUCUGGUAGGCAAGUAAUUAUAUAUAUUCAUCCGAUUCACUAACAUUUGCGAGAAUCCUCUGAUAUGCUAAGUCCAUUUUAAGUUAGUUCGCAGUAACGGCCAUACUUUAGUUUGUUGCACAUCCUUUGUUCGACGAAAUUCCCGGAAGAACUGAAUUCAUUACUAUGUCACAACGGAUUUGAGUUCGCGGAGGUUUUCAGAAAUAGGAGUUGUUAAAGUAUGUUUACUGGUUUGCAUAAAAGGGUAUUGAAAGGAUUCUUUGAGUUUGUCAAAGAAAUGUUGCCAUGUUGGGGAUGAAUAUGACCUUGUUGCUUUUUAUUGACUAGUGUGAUCACUGCAUGUAUGGAACUUGAAAAUGCAAUGGAGAAAAUUGCAUUGCUUCAUGUUCAUAUGAUAGAUCUUGGGUUUGAGCACUAUAGCUCUGUGAUAAGUUCUCUAGUUUCAAAUCAACGUUUUAUAAGGACUGCACUUUGACAAUAUAUAUUUGAAGCGUGGCAGCAUUGAUUACGCUCGUGAAAUUUGUGAUGAGAAGAUUGAGAAGAUUAAUGUUUUAGGGACAUCUGGUGACAGCUUACGAGGGAGGAAGAUGGGGUUGAACUAUUUGAGAAAUUUGUGAAAAAGAGGAUCUGAAAUCUGAUCAUGUAUGCUUUACAGCUGUUUUAACAGCUCGCAACCAUAGAGGCUUCUUGGAUUAAGGGAUAUGAUAUUUUAACAAAAUGAAAAAAAAAAAGUGGUUUGGUCCCUGAACUACAUCAGUUGGCAUGCAUGAUUGAUCUUUAUGAGCGAACUGGGCGUCUUAGAAAAGCAAAGGAGUCAAUUUAAACAAUGCCUUGUGCUCGAAGUGUUAGUAUGUGCAUCACCAUGGGCCCUUGGAGGGUUCAUUAAUGAAGCAGAACUUGGGAGGGAAGAAGCACAUCACCUUUUUAUGCUGGAGGUCAAGAAUGUGAAUACAUAGCACUCUCGAGCAUUAUGCACAAGCAGGUGUGCUGGAAGAAGUAACAGAGGUUAGACAUUUGAUGAGAGAGAAGGGAAAUAAAAAUAUCUGCCUGUGAGGUUGUCUAGAGUCAGAACACAAAAAUACAUGGUUUCUCAAUAAAUGAUCCAUCUCAACCUUGGGCACCAGAAAUCUGCGGAAUUAGCACGCUUGUAUUUUGAAAUAAUGUGUUAGUGUACUGGAACAUGUUUCUUAAUGAUGUAAACUUGUUGCACAGAAAGCAUUAAGAUUCAAGACUUGAUCUAAAUUAGAUUGGUGGAGUACGAAAGCCUCUGCAGAGCCAAUGCACUCAUUCAAGUAGACUGCAACGGAGAAGAGUGACAUGUUGCUCAUUGGUGAUAUAGCUUGAGAAGGUAGAGUCAUUUUACGGCAUAGAGUUCAUGUUGCAGAAUCUAAUAUGGCAUCACAACAUAGCUGAUGGCAUUCAUGACAACAGCGCAAGUAAAAAAGUUGUUCCGGUUAGAAGCUGCAAAAGGGUAAAGUUUUCUCAGGAAAUUCGGGUUGGAAACUUGAAUUACAAGAAAUGGAUAUCAAAUAAACAUGUUACAGAAUUACAAAAAAUGGAUAUCAAAAAUAAACAUGUUACAGAUUUUGACGUUGCACCAGGACUAAUGUGUGUAUGGUACAUAAUGUGAUAACAACCUUCACCAACUUUACCAUGGAUUCUGCGUUUAAUACAUUUUUUAUUUUCUUGUUUCA